Molecule: ribosomal RNA, 350 nt
Filed under: uncultured bacterium
Lineage: Bacteria
Description: bacterial SSU rRNA
Rfam family: Bacterial small subunit ribosomal RNA
Source: RNAcentral
AGAGUUUGAUCAUGGCUCAGAUUGAACGCUGGCGGCAUGCUUUACACAUGCAAGUCGAACGGCAGCACAGGGAGCUUGCUCCCCGGGUGGCGUAGUGGCGCACGGGUGAGUAAUACAUCGGAACGUGUCCUGUUNUGGGGGAUAACUGCUCGAAAGGGUGGCUAAUACCGCAUGAGACCUGAGGGUGAAAGCGGGGGAUCGCAAGACCUCGCGCAAUUGGAGCGGCCGAUGCCCGAUUAGCUAGUUGGUGAGGUAAAGGCUCACCAAGGCGACGAUCGGUAGCUGGUCUGAGAGGACGACCAGCCACCACUGGGACUGAGACACGGCCCAGACUCCUACGGGAGGCAGCA